RNAcentral lists this ribosomal RNA (497 nucleotides) under uncultured bacterium. RNAcentral's name for it is "partial 16S ribosomal RNA". It matches the Rfam family "Bacterial small subunit ribosomal RNA", at positions 28 to 507 of the family's 1533-position model. The record is from RNAcentral.
GACGAACGCUGGCGGCGUGCCUAAUACAUGCAAGUUGAGCGCUGAAGGUUGGUACUUGUACCAACUGGAUGAGCAGCGAACGGGUGAGUAACGCGUGGGGAAUCUGCCUUUGAGCGGGGGACAACAUUUGGAAACGAAUGCUAAUACCGCAUAAAAACUUUAAACACAAGUUUUAAGUUUGAAAGAUGCAAUUGCAUCACUCAAAGAUGAUCCCGCGUUGUAUUAGCUAGUUGGUGGGGUAAAGGCUCACCAAGGCGAUGAUACAUAGCCGACCUGAGAGGGUGAUCGGCCACAUUGGGACGGAGACACGGCCCAAACUCCUACGGGCGGCAGCAGUAGGGAAUCUUCGGCAAUGGACGAAAGUCUGACCGAGCAACGCCGCGUGAGUGAAGAAGGUUGUCGGAUCGUAAAACUCUGUUGGUAGAGAAGAACGUUGGUGAGAGUGGAAAGCUCAUCAAGUGACGGUAACUACCCAGAAAGGGACGGCUAACUACGUG